UGUAAAGUACUUUCAGCAGUGAGGAAGGUGGAUAUGUUAAUAGCAUAUUCAUUUGACGUUAGCUGCAGAAGAAGCACCGGCUAACUCCGUGCCAGCAGCCGCGGUAAUACGGAGGGUGCGAGCGUUAAUCGGAAUUACUGGGCGUAAAGCGCAUGCAGGUGGUUUGUUAAGUCAGAUGUGAAAGCCCGGGGCUCAACCUCGGAAUUGCAUUUGAAACUGGCAAACUAGAGUACUGUAGAGGGGGUAGAAUUUCAGGUGUAGCGGUGAAAUGCGUAGAGAUCUGAAGGAAUACCGGUGGCGAAGGCGGCCCCCUGGACAGAUACUGACACUCAGAUGCGAAAGCGUGGGGAGCAAACAGGAUUAGAUACCCUGGUAG
This 376-nucleotide ribosomal RNA is filed under the name uncultured bacterium. RNAcentral describes it as "bacterial SSU rRNA". It matches the Rfam family "Bacterial small subunit ribosomal RNA", at positions 424 to 793 of the family's 1533-position model. The record is from RNAcentral.